CGCGCAGGCGGUUUCUUAAGUCUGAUGUGAAAGCCCACGGCUCAACCGUGGAGGGUCAUUGGAAACUGGGAAACUUGAGUGCAGAAGAGGAAAGCGGAAUUCCACGUGUAGCGGUGAAAUGCGUAGAGAUGUGGAGGAACACCAGUGGCGAAGGCGGCUUUCUGGUCUGUAACUGACGCUGAGGCGCGAAAGCGUGGGGAGCAAACA
RNAcentral lists this ribosomal RNA (207 nucleotides) under uncultured bacterium. Its description in RNAcentral is "partial 16S ribosomal RNA". It matches the Rfam family "Bacterial small subunit ribosomal RNA", at positions 568 to 774 of the family's 1533-position model. The record is from RNAcentral.